Molecule: ribosomal RNA, 761 nt
Filed under: Prevotella melaninogenica
Lineage: Bacteria; Pseudomonadati; Bacteroidota; Bacteroidia; Bacteroidales; Prevotellaceae
Description: bacterial SSU rRNA
Rfam family: Bacterial small subunit ribosomal RNA
Source: RNAcentral
GAUGAACGCUAGCUACAGGCUUAACACAUGCAAGUCGAGGGGAAACGGCAUUUAGUGCUUGCACCGAAUGGACGUCGACCGGCGCACGGGUGAGUAACGCGUAUCCAACCUACCCAUUACUGUGGGAUAACCUGCCGAAAGGCAGACUAAUACCGCAUAGUCUUCGAUGACGGCAUCAGAUUUGAAGUAAAGAUUUAUCGGUAAUGGAUGGGGAUGCGUCUGAUUAGCUUGUUGGCGGGGUAACGGCCCACCAAGGCAACGAUCAGUAGGGGUUCUGAGAGGAAGGCCCCCCACAUUGGAACUGAGACACGGUCCAAACUCCUACGGGAGGCAGCAGUGAGGAAUAUUGGUCAAUGGGCGCGAGCCUGAACCAGCCAAGUAGCGUGCAGGAUGACGGCCCUAUGGGUUGUAAACUGCUUUUGUAUGGGGAUAAAGUCAAUCACGUGUGAUUGUUUGCAGGUACCAUACGAAUAAGGACCGGCUAAUUCCGUGCCAGCAGCCGCGGUAAUACGGAAGGUCCGGGCGUUAUCCGGAUUUAUUGGGUUUAAAGGGAGCGUAGGCCGGAGAUUAAGUGUGUUGUGAAAUGUAGACGCUCAACGUCUGACUUGCAGCGCAUACUGGUUUCCUUGAGUACGCACAACGUUGGCGGAAUUCGUCGUGUAGCGGUGAAAUGCUUAGAUAUGACGAAGAACUCCGAUUGCGAAGGCAGCUGACGGGAGCGCAACUGACGCUUAAGCUCGAAGGUGCGGGUAUCGAACAGG